CCUACGGGUGGCAGCAGUGAGGAAUAUUGGUCAAUGGUCGGGAGACUGAACCAGCCAAGCCGCGUGAGGGAGGAAGGUACAGAGUAUCGUAAACCUCUUUUGUCAGGGAACAAAGGCGGGGACGUGUCCCCGGAUGAGUGUACCUGAAGAAAAAGCAUCGGCUAACUCCGUGACAGCAGCCGCGGUAAUAGGGAGGAUGCGAGCGUUAUCGGGAUUUAUUGGGUUUAAAGGGUGGGCAGGCGGUCUGUUAAGUCAGCGGUCAAAGCACGGGGCGAACCCCGGGCCCGCCGUUGAAACUGGCAGGCUCGAGUUGGAGAGAAGUAAGCGGAAUGCGCGGUGUAGCGGUGAAAUGCAUAGAUAUCGGGCAGAACUCCGAUUGCGAAGGCAGCAUGCCGGCUCCACACUGACGCUGAGGCACGAAAGCGUGGGUAUCGAACAGGAUUAGAUACCCGAGUAGUC
This 459-nucleotide ribosomal RNA is filed under the name uncultured bacterium. RNAcentral's name for it is "partial 16S ribosomal RNA". It matches the Rfam family "Bacterial small subunit ribosomal RNA", at positions 338 to 795 of the family's 1533-position model. The record is from RNAcentral.